AGGAACGCGAAGAACCUUACCAGGUCUUGACAUCUUUUGAUCACCUGAGAGAUCAGGUUUCCCCUUCGGGGGCAAAAUGACAGGUGGUGCAUGGUUGUCGUCAGCUCGUGUCGUGAGAUGUUGGGUUAAGUCCCGCAACGAGCGCAACCCUUAUGACUAGUUGCCAGCAUUUAGUUGGACACUCUAGUAAGACUGCCGGUGACAAACCGGAGGAAGGUGGGGAUGACGUCAAAUCAUCAUGCCCCUUAUGACCUGGGCUACACACGUGCUACAAUGGAUGGUACAACGAGUUGCGAGACCGCGAGGUCAAGCUAAUCUCUUAAAGCCAUUCUCAGUUCGGACUGUAGGCUGCAACUCGCCUACACGAAGUCGGAAUCGCUAGUAAUCGCGGAUCAGCACGCCGCGGUGAAUACGUUCCCGGGUCUUGUA
RNAcentral lists this ribosomal RNA (429 nucleotides) under uncultured bacterium. RNAcentral's name for it is "bacterial SSU rRNA". It matches the Rfam family "Bacterial small subunit ribosomal RNA", at positions 955 to 1385 of the family's 1533-position model. The record is from RNAcentral.